This is a long non-coding RNA of Manacus vitellinus (golden-collared manakin), 387 nucleotides long. RefSeq lists it as uncharacterized. The record is from RefSeq and is a predicted model, not a curated record. NCBI's taxonomy places the organism in Eukaryota, Metazoa, Chordata, Aves, Passeriformes, Pipridae. The transcript has 3 exons.
GAUUGACCGGCACUAGGAGAGUAUGGAGUCACCUUUGUGACUCUCCUUCCUCAGGCAUUUGGCUGCAACCUGGAAGGAAGGGAGGAGAUGUUCCUCCAGCACCAGGUCAGAGCCAUGUCAUAGCCCAAAGCUGCAAGCAAGGACUGCCCCAGGGAAAUCAAAGGAGAAAGAAGAUGAUUUGGUGAUCCCAGCCUGGCUCUCCAGCAUCAGGCCAUCAUCCACAAGGCUGCGCAGACCCACCAUGGAGUAGCUAGGAGGACAGCAAGACAAGCAGUCACUGGGCAGGUUGUGAAGGAAGGGCUUUCUCACACCACCGUUGCCAAAAUUGUCAAGGCAGAUCCGCUCUGCAUCUCCUGAUUUCAGAAGGAGCUGCUUGCCAGAAACCAC